This 102-nucleotide small nuclear RNA is filed under the name Amborella trichopoda. Lineage: Eukaryota; Viridiplantae; Streptophyta; Magnoliopsida; Amborellales; Amborellaceae. The record is from RNAcentral.
GUCUCUUCAGAGACAUCCGAUAAAUUGGAAUUAUACCGAGGCGAUUAGCAUGGCCCCUGCACAAGGAUGACAUGCACAAACGAGAAAAUGUUCCAAAUUUUU